AAUACAUGCAAGUCGAGCGGACAGAAGGGAGCUUGCUCCCGGAUGUUAGCGGCGGACGGGUGAGUAACACGUGGGUAACCUGCCUGUAAGACUGGGAUAACUCCGGGAAACCGGAGCUAAUACCGGAUAGUUCCUUGAACCGCAUGGUUCAAGGAUGAAAGACGGUUUCGGCUGUCACUUACAGAUGGACCCGCGGCGCAUUAGCUAGUUGGUGGGGUAAUGGCUCACCAAGGCGACGAUGCGUAGCCGACCUGAGAGGGUGAUCGGCCACACUGGGACUGAGACACGGCCCAGACUCCUACGGGAGGCAGCAGUAGGGAAUCUUCCGCAAUGGACGAAAGUCUGACGGAGCAACGCCGCGUGAGUGAUGAAGGUUUUCGGAUCGUAAAGCUCUGUUGUUAGGGAAGAACAAGUGCGAGAGUAACUGCUCGCACCUUGACGGUACCUAACCAGAAAGCCACGGCUAACUACGUGCCAGCAGCCGCGUUAAUA
RNAcentral lists this ribosomal RNA (492 nucleotides) under Bacillus pumilus. RNAcentral's name for it is "bacterial SSU rRNA". It matches the Rfam family "Bacterial small subunit ribosomal RNA", at positions 50 to 525 of the family's 1533-position model. The record is from RNAcentral. Lineage: Bacteria; Bacillati; Bacillota; Bacilli; Caryophanales; Bacillaceae.